Molecule: ribosomal RNA, 241 nt
Filed under: uncultured bacterium
Lineage: Bacteria
Description: partial 16S ribosomal RNA
Rfam family: Bacterial small subunit ribosomal RNA
Source: RNAcentral
UGGGUAACCUGCCUUAUAGUGGGGGAGUAGCCUUUCGAAAGGAAGAUUAAUACCGCAUAAGGUUGUAGUAUCGCAUGAUAUAGCAAUUAAAGGAAGCAAUUCGCUAUAAGAUGGACCCGCGUCGCAUUAGCUAGUUGGUGAGGUAAUGGCUCACCAAGGCGACGAUGCGUAGCCGACCUGAGAGGGUGAUCGGCCACAUUGGGACUGAGACACGGCCCAGACUCCUACGGGAGGCAGCAUG